RNAcentral lists this ribosomal RNA (269 nucleotides) under uncultured archaeon. RNAcentral describes it as "partial 16S ribosomal RNA". It matches the Rfam family "Archaeal small subunit ribosomal RNA", at positions 717 to 982 of the family's 1478-position model. The record is from RNAcentral.
ACACGACUACAUUAGACUACCCCGGUAGUCCCAGCCCUAAACGAUGCGCGUUAGGUGUAUCGGUGACCACGAGUCACCGAGGUGCCGAAGGGAAACCGUGAAACGUGCCGCCGUGGGAAGUACGGUCGCAAGGCUAGAAACGUUAAAGGAAUUGGCGGGGGAGCACCACAACGGGUGGAGCCUGCGGUUUAAUUGGACUCAACGCCGGGAAGCUCACCGGAUAAGACAGCGGAAUGAUUGCCGGGCUGAAGACCCUGCAUGACCAGCUG